AGUGAACGCUGGCGGUAGGCCUAACACAUGCAAGUCGAACGGCAGCACAGUAAGAGCUUGCUCUUACGGGUGGCGAGUAGCGGACGGGUGAGGAAUACAUCGGAAUCUACUUUUUCGUGGGGGCUAACGUAGGGAAACUUACGCUAAUACCGCAUACGACCUACGGGUGAAAGCAGGGGAUCUUCGGACCUUGUGAGAUUGAAUGAGCCGAUGUCGGAUUAGCUAGUUGGCGGGGUAAAGGCCCACCAAGGCGACGAUCCGUAGCUGGUCUGAGAGGAUGAUCAGCCACACUGGAACUGAGACACGGUCCAGACUCCUACGGGAGGCAGCAGUGGGGAAUAUUGGACAAUGGGCGCAAGCCUGAUCCAGCCAUACCGCGUGGGUGAAGAAGGCCUUCGGGUUGUAAAGCCCUUUUGUUGGGAAAGAAAAGCAGCAGGUUAAUACCCCGCUGUUCUGACGGUACCCAAAGAAUAAGCACCGGCUAACUUCGUG
Molecule: ribosomal RNA, 492 nt
Filed under: uncultured bacterium
Lineage: Bacteria
Description: partial 16S ribosomal RNA
Rfam family: Bacterial small subunit ribosomal RNA
Source: RNAcentral